UACGUAGGGUGCGAGCGUUGUCCGGAAUUACUGGGCGUAAAGAGUUCGUAGGCGGUUUGUCGCGUCGUUCGUGAAAACUUGGGGCUUAACUCCAAGCGUGCGGGCGAUACGGGCAGACUUGAGUACUACAGGGGAGACUGGAAUUCCUGGUGUAGCGGUGAAAUGCGCAGAUAUCAGGAGGAACACCGGUGGCGAAGGCGGGUCUCUGGGUAGGAACUGACGCUGAGGAACGAAAGCGUGGGUAGCGAACAGG
Molecule: ribosomal RNA, 253 nt
Filed under: uncultured bacterium
Lineage: Bacteria
Description: partial 16S ribosomal RNA
Rfam family: Bacterial small subunit ribosomal RNA
Source: RNAcentral